RNAcentral lists this ribosomal RNA (465 nucleotides) under Vreelandella stevensii. RNAcentral describes it as "partial 16S ribosomal RNA". It matches the Rfam family "Bacterial small subunit ribosomal RNA", at positions 338 to 795 of the family's 1533-position model. Lineage: Bacteria; Pseudomonadati; Pseudomonadota; Gammaproteobacteria; Oceanospirillales; Halomonadaceae. The record is from RNAcentral.
CCUACGGGUGGCAGCAGUGGGGAAUAUUGGACAAUGGGCGAAAGCCUGAUCCAGCCAUGCCGCGUGUGUGAAGAAGGCCUUCGGGUUGUAAAGCACUUUCAGUGGGGAAGAAAGCCUUGGGGCUAAUACCCUCGAGGAAGGACAUCACCCACAGAAGAAGCACCGGCUAACUCCGUGCCAGCAGCCGCGGUAAUACGGAGGGUGCGAGCGUUAAUCGGAAUUACUGGGCGUAAAGCGCGCGUAGGCGGUCUGAUAAGCCGGUUGUGAAAGCCCCGGGCUCAACCUGGGAACGGCAUCCGGAACUGUCAGGCUAGAGUGCAGGAGAGGAAGGUAGAAUUCCCGGUGUAGCGGUGAAAUGCGUAGGGAUCGGGAGGAAUACCAGUGGCGAAGGCGGCCUUCUGGACUGACACUGACGCUGAGGUGCGAAAGCGUGGGUAGCAAACAGGAUUAGAUACCCGUGUAGUC